GAAAUGCGAUAAGUAAUGUGAAUUGCAGAAUUCAGUGAAUCAUCGAAUCUUUGAACGCACCUUGCGCUCCUUGGUAUUCCUUGAAGCAUGCCUGUUUGAGUAUCAUGAAAUCUUCAAAGUAAAUCUUUUGUUAACUCAAUUGGUUUCUACUUUGUUAUUGGAGGUCUUUGCAGCUUCACACCUGCUCCUCUUUGUUCAUUAGCUGGAUCUCAGUGUUAUGCUUGGUUCCACUCGGCGUGAUAAGUUAUCUAUCGCUGAGGACACUGUAAAAGGUGGCCAAGGUAAAUGCAGAUGAACCGCUUCUAAUAGUCCAUUGACUUGGACAAUACUUUUAUGAUCUGAUCUCAAAUCAGGUAGGACUACCCGCUGAACUUAAGC
Molecule: unclassified non-coding RNA, 378 nt
Filed under: plant metagenome
Description: partial contains 5.8S ribosomal RNA, internal transcribed spacer 2, and large subunit ribosomal RNA
Rfam family: 5.8S ribosomal RNA (bases 1-105)
Source: RNAcentral